This 519-nucleotide ribosomal RNA is filed under the name uncultured Planctomycetota bacterium. RNAcentral's name for it is "bacterial SSU rRNA". It matches the Rfam family "Bacterial small subunit ribosomal RNA", at positions 424 to 937 of the family's 1533-position model. The record is from RNAcentral. Lineage: Bacteria; Pseudomonadati; Planctomycetota.
UGUAAACCACUGUCGUAGAGGAGGAAGUUGAUUGGGGUUCUCCCCAGUCAUUGACCUAUUCUAGGAGGAAGGACGGGCUAAGUUCGUGCCAGCAGCCGCGGUAAUACGAACCGUCCAAACGUUAUUCGGAAUUACUGGGCUUAAAGGGUACGUAGGCGGCGCUGUCAGUCGGGUGUGAAAUCCCACGGCUCAACCGUGGAAUUGCGCCCGAUACUGCAGUGCUUGAGGGAGACAGAGGUAAGCGGAACUGAUGGUGGAGCGGUGAAAUGCGUUGAUAUCAUCAGAAACACCAGUGGCGAAAGCGGCUUACUGGGUCUCUUCUGACGCUGAGGUACGAAAGCCAGGGGAGCGAAGGGGAUUAGAUACCCCCGUAGUCCUGGCCGUAAACUCUGUGCACUUGAUCGAGGGCCCCCCCAUAGGCUCUCGGUCGUAGCGAAAGUGUUAAGUGCACCGCCUGGGGAGUAUGGUCGCAAGGCUGAAACUCAAAGAAAUUGACGGGGGCUCACACAAGCGGUGGAG